This 333-nucleotide unclassified non-coding RNA is filed under the name Hevea brasiliensis (rubber tree). Lineage: Eukaryota; Viridiplantae; Streptophyta; Magnoliopsida; Malpighiales; Euphorbiaceae. The record is from RNAcentral.
AUUGGAACAAAGAGGCUUCUAUUGCUGAAAGCAGGAUAAAGAGAUGGGGAGGACACGAUUAAAGAUUCAGAAGCGAAAAACAAUGAAAAAAUAACUUAGUCCUGAAAGUGAAUGGAAAUGCACCAUGGAUUGUGAUUCUUUGAAGGAAAAGCAAUGAUUUAUCAAUAAUUUCCCAGGGAAAAUAUGCACUUCUCAUCAGAAAACUUUUCAUUUUCGUUUAGAAGAAGAUCAGGAUAUUGAAACCCCAAGACUUUUGCUUACAAUUAUCUAGAGGUGUACCAAUAUGUAGACCCUGCCAUGGCCAGUUUAAUCAACUUCGAUUCCGGAUUAAAC